Molecule: long non-coding RNA, 4562 nt
Organism: Lolium rigidum
Lineage: Eukaryota; Viridiplantae; Streptophyta; Magnoliopsida; Poales; Poaceae
Exons: 12
Source: RefSeq, a predicted model, not a curated record
GCCGCCUCCAAGGUCGCCUCUGCGCGAGCUCCGACACCUUGUUCGCGUGGUCGCCCAACGGCAGCCUGGCAGUGGGAGUGGUUGUUCGCCCGCGCCACCUCCAUGCGCCGCAUCUGAAGGCGUCGUUCGCCCCGAGCCCUACAGCCCACGCCGCCCUUCAGGUGCACCUCACCCGGCAAGGAGGACCAUUGACAUAGCCGUGAGCGCUGGGUGUAAAGGCCGGGCUAGGCGCGUCCACGACAUGCAGGAACUCGCCCGCAAGCCUCACCGCUGACACGACAGCUAGGCAGGACACCAAGGUUUCCAUGCUAGUUUUGAGGAGGAUGCCUACUCGAGGAUUGUUCUCAUGACAGAUGUAUGUAAUAAAGACUAUCCAAUUAUUUUCCAUGUAUUCCGGCAUCACUGCCCUUUCAUGUGUUACCCUGAAAUUUUAUCCACUUUUGUUUUUAUCAUGCACCCACCACUUUGACGAGCUGGCAACAGCUGGUUACAUUUUGUUCACUUCAUGUGGCAUUAUGUCAGAAGUUCUUUGAGGCCAAACCUUAUGAUCAAAGAACUGCUAUGGGAUUUGGCGUGCUCAAUGGCAUCUCAAAUGGGCUCCUCAAUCCGAGUUUAGGUUUCAAUUAUGUUAGUUUCUAUUAGGUAAAUGUCAAUUCAGCGUCGAGUACUUUUUCCUUGUCUAGAAUGGCAAAAAUUACUGACCUUUUAACACACGAAAUAACAUCUUAUGAAAAGGGUUCUAGUCGAGCUCUUACUUUUUGCGUGAUGCUUUGAGUGGAGAGCGCCCUUGACCUGGAGGCUGCUCAGCAGCACCUCGCUGACAUCUCCCAAGCAGCAGUAUAUGUGGUAUCUGCUGAACACUUCAACUUAAUUUAGCUUACCCUUGUUGUCCUUCUUGCCUAACAUAAUUUAAUGGUUGAGCACGCGAUUGGUUCACAUGAUGCAGUAUCGUUCCUUGGACCUGAAUGUUGAACAUCUGUUCAUGUACAUUGCCUUAGAAUCUUGCUAGCGACACCGUUGCACUUGCUCUAGAUAACACACGGUACCUAUCCAAAAAACUGAUAAAUCAGAGGGAUGCUGAUCUUGUUUACUUCUUGUGGAAGGUUAUUAUCAUCUCUGAGUUUGAUUGUUUGUCACAAAAUCUGUUGAUAAUCGUUAAUCGGGACACUAAAGCUAGCGACUAGUAUGUUACAUGCAUGGAUUUCCUGUUGAGGUUGCAUAUGCAUGGAUUUCUGGGUGAGGUUGCAUAUCCAUGGAUUUACGGCGAGGUUGCAUGACAUAAGCGUAGUAGUAGUAGUAUUAAAAAUCAGGGCUAGAAGUUAGUACAUCUGGUUAAUACUGUACUGGACACAUUCAACAAAGAGCUACUAUCCAUUCUAUCGAACAUGCCUGGGAUCUUGCUAUUGACAUUUUACAUUCAGCACACAACCUCAUAAACUCCUGAUGCUUUCAAAAUCUUGAUAUUAAUGCCUUCCUCAUGAUUCUUGUGUACCAUCGUUGCGUAUGAUUGAGAUAAUGCAUAGAGAAAACCUAUAAUGAAUGUUGUCAAUACGCCAUCGUUUAUCCAUCUUGUGCUAAUGAAACGAUACAAGUAUGCACUGUGAGAGAUAAGCAGACACGAAUGGAGCCGCUAAGUGCAAGCCGUGGCAAAGAAAUAGGAGGUGAGAUGAAGAGGAAGGGGUUUCCUUUUCCGCACGUCUAAUUCGAGCAGGAACGAGGGCUCAACCGGGUGGUGCUACUGCAGCGAAGGUGGCUCUACUAUGGCGCCCUCUGACUGUCGUUGCCAGUCAAACAGAUGCUUAUGUGGCUGGCUAGUUGUUCAGCCGUGGACAAGCAGACGACCACUGGAGUUUUUUUACAAGUGAACUGAAACAAAUUGUUUGAUAAGAGGACCUGCGGAUAGUGUCCAACAUUUGGCGAGGCAGCAAAGUCUUAAACACAGUGAAAAUAUCUAACUGAAGAUAGUAUGCAUCCUAUUUCUUUAGGAAACGUACCACAAAGUCACAUGUAGGAUCAGGUCUACGGAUGGGGAGAAUGUUGAUGCGAGCACUUUGUUUAGGGGGAUGUUCAAAUUGAAAUGCAAUUGCUCCACAUGUCGCAUAUCACUUAGGGAGCAACGGCGGAGGCGCCGGGUGGUGGAGAAUGCGGCGCAAUGACCGUUUGGACCAUGACAGAUCUAAUGUCAUUGGCCAACUAGCCAUGGUCCCAAUAAGUUCACGGACUCCGACAUCCUGUGGGCCUGGACCAUCUGCAAGUUCCAGUAGCUACCCAGGUGUCUGGUGAUCCCAAUUCUGACAUCCGGACGGGGGUGCUUUCACUCCACGCCAAAGUUCAUCUAGUACCAGGCUACCCCAUCCAGCUCGCAUCCUAGAUUAUGUCAUCAGCGAGAUCUAAGUGCAGUUUGAGCUCUCCAAGAGCAUCAGUGGUGUCGUAAUCGAUGAAUGUCCCAUCAACAAGGAGCGGUAUUGGUAAUCUGGUAUAUUUCAUUUCGUUGGCAGCCUGGCCCCAGACCAAUUCUCCUUUAAAGUACUAUUGGAUUAGGAUAACCUUAUCAAGAUGAUUGCAUGAAGUGUCAUUGCUUCCACAAUAAGCAUUUGCCUGGACACUAGCCAUCAUUAAUGAAUGUGGAAACCAUCUUUAACUUGUUAUGCAGUUUUUAACAUGUUAUGAUACUGCAGUAAUAGUUAAUACAAUAAAUGCUCUAUUCUGCAAAGCUCAAAAGAUCAGCACUUGCCAACCUAGCAUUUGCUGGAAAAUGUGAUGAAGAUUUCUCAUAAUUCUAUAUCUGUUUUUAGGGAGGAAGGGGUCUCUGGUAUUUGAGUCAAUCUAUGGGUGCAUGCUUCUGCAUUGGAACCAUUCAGGAUAUGUUUUUUCUAAAGGAAUUAGAUACACACAGCCAUAAUCUCGAAUUAUUUCUGUGAGACCACAUUGGGUUUUCAGUUUUUAAUUUUCUUCUUUAACUAAUGAUAACAUUGAUAAAUGAUAUGCAAGUUGAGAAGGAAAAAUGUCUGAAUUUUUUUUAUUAUGAGGACUUGUACCAUGACAAAUAGGACCACGAUCUGGUCUUUACAGUGAACUUCAUGUGACCUAUGUUUGACCAUUAUACUGGAACAGAUUUUCCACAACCUAAUGUAUGCCUAAAUUUUUCCACCAUUUAAAGUAGACGUUCUCAUGCUAGCUAGCUUAAUUUGUAGCAUACAUUGAAGUGGGUUGCGGAUGUAGAUUUCACUUCCAGAUGCUGGAAACAUCAUUUUUAGUGCAUGGAGAAGGCUCGGCUAGGCCUUGGUUAUAGCUAUAAAAUGCAUGGAGGGAUCAGGCCAGCGGAGCAGCGGCAUGAGAGCGGCGAGGUUGAGCUCACACUACUUCCCCACCACACCAAGGCUCUAAAGAAUGGUGUACAAGUGAAGUUGUAGAGGAAUGCUCGCAGUGUCCUGGAAGCUCCAACUGCCCGAGGUACUCCUGCCAGCAUCCAACCAAACAUGUCGCCGGCAUCUUCCCCAUCCAUGUACCCGAGGUUGCUGGUGGGGAUCGUGCUCCAUCAAUCCGAUAAGGUAUGCAGUGGUAGAUGCGGCGCGAUGGUAGUGUUGCUGAAUAGGACCCCGACAUCAUUGCCCGCCGCUGUCGGCACACUGCUGUUGGCCAUGGUUGACAAGGACUUCCUUGAGCACGUGUUGUCUAGGAUGGAUACGCUGACAACAUCAACAUCAACUACGGUGUUGAGGCGAGAACAUGGGAGGUCUGGUACGUUUUUUGGAGGCUCUUCCUUGGUCACUUGACGAAGAUGACGGGGGCGACAAGGAACGAGUUCGAGAUGGCUGUGGUGGCUCUUACAGUUCCCCACUGCCUUCCACUGCGCACAAGGAGCAAGAUGGCAGCAGUGGCAGGAAGCGAGGGAUCGAUUGUGCGACGGCAACAACUAGACGCCAAGAGCUGUGUGAGAUAGUGAGCAGCAUCGAGACAAAAAAAAAAGGCGGGGUCUAGUACUGGAGUCCACCAGCGAGGUGGUUAGAGAAGAGCUGGAUCACAAAAGGUGGGCAAAGAAGAGAUGUGGCUGACGAGGUACUGGUGAUGUGCUCCAUAUAAUGGCGAGGUACCUAGAUCGUAGCAAUAAGCUAUGGCAGUGAUCUUCCACAGUCCGGACACGAGCUGCCGGAGGUUGUGGUGGGGUGGUCACCAGCUGCGCUUUCAGGAGGCCGUCCACGAGCUGCUUGAGAUCCGCUUGCAGGAGCCAGCGGAGUGUAUGCAAUCUAUCAGAACAUAGAGGCUAGUAUUACUAGUUGUCCUGUGUGUGGCUAGUAACUGAUAGUAUUGCUCAGUGUCAAACUUGUACUUGUGUUAAGAGCAUACAUGCAUCGGCCAGGAGCUGAUGCAGCUUGUCAUUGUAGAUUAAUUUUUGUUGCAUCCUCAAACCUAAAAGAAUAAUGUCGCUAGCAAUUUGUAGCCUGGUGAUGUAGCAAUUUUGCUUGCACUAUUCUUGUAUCGUGCUUAUCAUUACUUGAGAAAUGAAGACAAUUGGGUGUACUAUAUUGAAAAAUGAAAUGAUGUUGGUGGAACCUGAGAUA